CGAAUGCUGACAUAAGUAACGAUAAAGCGGGUGAAAAGCCCGCUCGCCGGAAGACCAAGGGUUCCUGUCCAACGUUAAUCGGGGCAGGGUGAGUCGACCCCUAAGGCGAGGCCGAAAGGCGUAGUCGAUGGGAAACAGGUUAAUAUUCCUGUACUUGGUGUUACUGCGAAGGGGGGACGGAGAAGGCUAUGUUGGCCGGGCGACGGUUGUCCCGGUUUAAGCGUGUAGGCUGGUUUUCCAGGCAAAUCCGGAAAAUCAAGGCUGAGGCGUGAUGACGAGGCACUACGGUGCUGAAGCAACAAAUGCCCUGCUUCCAGGAAAAGCCUCUAAGCAUCAGGUAACAUUAAAUCGUACCCCAAACCGACACAGGUGGUCAGGUAGAGAAUACCAAGGCGCUUGAGAGAACUCGGGUGAAGGAACUAGGCAAAAUGGUGCCGUAACUUCGGGAGAAGGCACGCUGAUAUGUAGGUGAAGCGACUUGCUC
Molecule: ribosomal RNA, 484 nt
Filed under: Escherichia coli
Lineage: Bacteria; Pseudomonadati; Pseudomonadota; Gammaproteobacteria; Enterobacterales; Enterobacteriaceae
Description: partial 23S ribosomal RNA
Rfam family: Bacterial large subunit ribosomal RNA
Source: RNAcentral